AAUAACUGGAAGACACCUGGCGCAUCGGACUCGGGGCGUUACAAACAGAUACAUAAAAUCAUGAGAGAGAUACUUUCCUUUUCUCUAGAGGGCUAAAAAUGAAAUUACGAGGAAAUAUAAGAAAUGCAACCGAGGAAGUAUUCACCAACUGUCAGGUAGUUCAAAGAACACCAGAUGUAAAAUUAACAUGCAGGUCCAUAGACCACUUAGCGACGACUACAAGCACUAGAACUAGCCAAAAGGUGCACCGUCUUUAUCGCCCAUCCUUCGUCGGAGAAGGGCAAACAUUGUUGUGGUAGAUAGCCAGGAACCAAAAUACGUUGCGGCUUGUUAGUUUCUAGCUGAAUAUGUUUGAUGGACCAUUGGUAUGUGCUUAUUUUGUGUGCAAGAACAAUGAAUCUAUUUGGUCCCAAUAGCCAAUAAGCCAUAAUAUGUUUUCCAGCUAUCCUAACUCUUGGUAUCAAAGAUGAUUGUUUGCUAUAGAAUUAUUCAAGUCCAUACGUCAAGGUCUACAGAAGGUAUGGUUAAGUUUAAAAGAUUCUACACUUUCUGGUGUGUAGUUCCAGAUUUAGAGGAAAAAAUAUUCUAGUUGAAAUCAUAGUAUUAAUUAUACUUCAGUGGUAGAUUUAAUUUUAAUUUUGCCCAAAAAUCGUCCCAAUACGGUGAGUGCAAUGCACGUGUAUGUGAGCAUCUAUGUUAAAAAAAGGCCAUGAUACAUGUUCAAGUACAAAGAGUAGGAAAAUAAAAAAGUGGGAUUUAAAUUAUUCUAGCUAGAAAAACAAUUCAUAAUGCUCCCAAGUAAAUCUUUAUUUCCAAACAUUAUUCUUGGUCAUUUUCUUGCUACAAUUAUCUAAUGCAUUCGCAGUGACCAUCACGGUAGGUCCCACCUCCGUAACCAUCUCUGUUGCAGAUAUCAUUACAAAAUCAAGGAUUCAUACAUGGAGUGUAGGGUUCACGGUGCCCCUCGACGCCAAUGUUAGCUUCCUUUCCUACAACAAUAAAAAAAAUGUGCCAUCAGAACCUUUUGUUAUUCGUAUUUAAACUAGGAUUCUGUGAAAUCAAUGUACUAUGCAAAUAGUAGGACAACAGUGGAGUGCUAAUACAAACACAUGAAGAACAACUACUGGCUGGUAUAUAAUUAUUAUGUACUAUGGAAACCAUACGUACCACGACAAAAUUGUAAUGGUGAUCAUAAAAUCACAAGGAAAACACCUCUUUCCUUCCAUGCCAUUGUUAAACAACACUAGGUUUAAAGUACUAUGAGGCAUGAUAACUUUCCAAUAACGGGACGAGCGCGACGCACAAGUUUGCAAUAUGAGGAAAAAUACUUUUAUAUCUAUUUUUUGUGAGUAUGAGGAAAAUGAUACUUGCCUAUCUGAACCAAACACCUCACUCUAUUAGGCACGGUUGAAACACUUUUCUCUUGCAAAAAUACUUGCAUAUAUUAACUUGAACGAUCAAACUUCAUAAGAAACAUUCAUAUCAUUGGCAACAGAGAAUGAUGCAAUAGGAUCAAUUUUUUAUCUAGCUCCAGGAAACCAUAAAUUCAUAUAUACUACAGUUGAUAAGCUCUGGUAAAUAGAAAUGUACCUAUCUUCCUCCCUGACGCUUCACUCGACAAUAAAGUGGUUGAAACCAUCAAAAGUGCCAUCAAGCACAGAACACCAGUGUUGAUCCGGAUUAGAGCCAUAACAAAAUUGUUUAGUGUUCUCUUCUCCUAUGUCCUUUUGGUUGUAUACUUGUACUACAUUGCUGGUUCCUUCUGUUGUUUAUAUAGAGGCAUGGCUUAUUCUAGGAGUAUCAAUGUUUGCCAUUUUAUUCAUUCCUGCUUUGGCGUGUUUCCUUUUUACAAUUCGCCGUAAUUAAUAAGGAUCCUCGGAUGAUACGCACAUCAUGGAAUAUCCUGUAGGUAUCGAUUGACAGACUAGAAAUAUAUCCAGAAGGAGUUUAUUAGUAUUCCAUAUACACAAUUAGGGCAUUUAUUGCCUCCUAAAAAUAACCAUAUGAAAUUAAUUAGUUUUUCAUAAUAACAUUGUGACAUUAAUUAGUAAUACUCCAUAUCAAGAUUAUGGCAUUUAUUCGCUCCAAAAUUACAAGAGAAAUUAAUUAGUAGUAUUCCGUAACAAGAUACAUAGUGUAUACGAAAAUGUGUCAUCUUGAUAGUUUGAUAUUAGUUUAUGUAUUUGGAACCUAUGAUUUCUGAACAAGACACAGUGCGUUGCACGUACGGUCUAGCUAGUGCAUAGUCACCUGAUAUUUGACUGAAUUUGUUAUUUUGAUGUUUAGUCAACUAUGCAUGUUUCAUUUGGGGCGGUGGCGCACUUUUUCUGGCUGGCGUGGGGGGGGGGGUGUGGCGCAUUUCAUUAUUCAAGCUAUAACAGUUUUACAAUCAUCGGUAAUCAUAAUGCUAAUCUCCUGGGGAGCGAGCAUGUUUAAGCCAAGAAGCUGUGUGCGACCAAUUGCCGCCAUUACAUGCCCAGCUUUAUUCUGCCCAUGACUAAUAAUCUUAUGGAUUUCAGUGUUGCGUUCGUUGAGAAGAUGCACUAUCUCUGCAAAUUCGUGCAUACUUUUGGAUCGAUCACCCGGCCCAACUUUUACAAAGGUGAUGAUCUUGGCACAGUCCGUCCCAACCUGAAACAGGGCUUGAGACCAAUGCAGAGUUAGACGGGGACCUCUCCCUUGGUGACUGAGGCAACCUGAAUUACUUCAAAACCACCUAUUGUAAAAUGACAAUAGUAUCUCGGACCAAGCUUUCACUCCAUUUUCGCUCAAGAGCGGCUGGACAGGGCGCUGCGGCCCAUUAUUCACAAGUACCAUUUACACUCAGAUCACCGGCCAAUUGUCCUUCACUGGAAAUUGCUCGUGCAUUGCAACAUAUGAUAGUGUAUUAGUGAAAAAUGCAACCUAGGACACGUAUGCAAUUUCAAAAAUGCAAACACAUAUAUGUAAUUUUUUGAAGGAACAUUUACACAUGUAUAUAUUUAUGUUAUACUAGGACAAUGCCCACGCGCUGCUAUCGUAGAUCUCAAAAAAUGCCUCAAGCACAUUAUAGCAAGCACUAAAGUUUCACUUCCCACAUCCCACCUAUUUAUCAACCACUGUGAUUCACAAUCAGACUUAAAUUUUUAGGAUCAAAUGGGAAGGUCAAAUUUAAGCUCCUAAUGAUGGGAAGCGAAUGAUAUGGUGCAAUAUGACCAUAAUAUAUCUACUAUUAUAGAUCCACAUGCAUAUUCCAUUGUCGACUUCUCUUGUACCAUUUUAUUCUUCACCAACAAUACUUGCAUCUCUGCUUUCACUACUGGGUAAAGUCUUAUAUAUUUGUUUGAGAAAAAAUAGUAGGGUAAACCCCUACUGUAACACAUUUUUUAUUAAUAUAAGAGUGGUGUUACAAGUCGAUGUACAAUGUGAAUAAGGCUAUGUGUAUGUGUGUGAUAGAUUUACAUAUAAUCUAACUAAGUUUGCAUACCUUCCUUCAGUCUUGGUUUUGGUUUCCUCAUGACUGUGCCAAAGUGUUCCUAGAAACAUGCAUUGUAAUAUUCUAAGAUCUUUGUCUUGUGGUAAAAAAAUAAUGAUGUUUUUGUGCUUCCAGAUGGACCAGCAUCCAGCAAUCAAGCGUGCUCUGAAUGGUUGUAUGUUUGUUCUGGUUUUUUGCUUUAUCCAACGUUUCAUUGAUGCUAUGGUUAGUGUUCCAUUAAAUCCCAAUAGACAUCCAGAAAUUGUGGCUGAAGUCACAUGGGAAAAAUAGAUGCUUUAGGUGUUCUUUUGGCUCAUAAUCACAUAUGACACAUUUGCUUGAUUCAAUAUAGAAGUGUUUCCUCGCUGGCAAGCCUCUGGUAUUUAGCCUAUCAAGUAGCAGUAACCAGAAGAUUUUGUUUGCUAAGCUUCCAGAUUUCCAAAUCCAUAGGAAUGGUUAAGGGUUAUCUGGUGGGUUUCCAAUCAAUUCUAGAUAAAUCCUUUUGGUGGAAUACAUUGUAGAUGACCAGUAGAAGUGUGCCAAUUGUCUCUGCUAUUGUUGCUUGCAAUACUGAUCAUGUUCCUCAAAGAUAUGCUUUGUUGUACGGCAAAAGUUGACAUGGGUAGAUGAAACAUUUCAUAUAGACCUUCUGUAGCUAUAUCAUGUGUAGCAGCAAAUGUUAUAUCCUUGUUUUUAGCAUAUGAAAAUAGUUGGGGGAAUUUAUUCUCAAGAUUAUCAUCCUCCCAUUUAUCGUACCAUAACCUGAAAGUAGAUCCAUCACCAACUUUGCAAAGUUAGAUGCUUUUGAAAUCAUUUAGAACAGAGCAGCAGUCUCUCCACCCAUGAUCCAACUUUUGUUGGAUAAGUUGGUAGCUCACCAUUGUUGUAGUAUGAGUUCCAUAAUAUUUGCACCCAUGUUAUGUCAUGCUUAUUAAAGAACUUGUGUAUGAACUUUGUCAGACAUGCUCUAUUCUGAGUUCUGAGGUCUAGUACUCUAGGCCACGAGCUCUUUGAUUAAACAUACCUUCUCCCAUUUGGCUAGACAUUUGCCAGGUUUGUUGAUAUUCUUUCAAUACCAUAAGAAGCACCUGCCAGAUUUUUCAAAAUGAUCUAGGAUGGUAAAGGCAACUCUGAUGUUGCACAUUGCAAAAAUGGGAAAUGCAUUAACCAUGGCUUUAAGAUGGACCAAUCUUCCUGCAUAUGACAUCAUAGGUGCGAUACCAGAUAGCCUAACAUCUAAUCUUGACACCAUGGGCAUCAAAUCAUCAAUUUUUGGUCUUGUGGAGCCCAUUGGUAAACCAAGGUAUGUGAAAUGCAUGCUUUAUUUUUUACAUCCAAGUAUGUUGGCAAGUUGCCGAGCUCUUUCAUCUGUUAUGUUGAUUGGUAAAGGGACGAAUUACUAUAGUUUACCUUAAGCCCGGUGAAUUCAGAGGAGAUUUUAUAUAUGUGUACCAUGUGACCGAGUUGUUGACGAUCAGCUGGCAUGAUGAUUAAUGUGUCAUAUGCAUACUAUAUGAUGGGGUAGUUCAUACAACCAUGGUUCUUAAUAGGAGUAGACAGGUGACCUUCUUGCCAUGAUUUAUUUAAUAAACUUGUAGAAGCUCAGCAUUAAUGACAUAUAGUAGAGGGGACAAUGGGUCUCCUUGUAUGACACCUACUUUGCAUUUUUUAAUCUUACCGUACUCCUCUUAAUUGGUCAGAGACUGGUGAACGCCAACUUCUUGGAAAUGACUUAAUCACAGAGGCUGAAGAAAUGUGCAAAGUCAUAUGUGAAAAUCUCAAAGCCGCACAAUUGCGUCAGAAGAGUUACUAUGAUAACAAGCAUCGUGACUUGGCAUUCGAGAUCGGAGACCAUGUCUACCUUCGCGUUCCGCUAAUGAAAGGUACUAGUCGCUUCGGUAUCAAAGGGAAGCUUGCCCCUAGAUACGUGGGUCCUUUCAAGAUCAUUAGAAAAAGAGUCAAUCUCGCCUAUCAACUUGAGCUUCCAUCCAACUUUGCAAAUGUGCAUGAUGUGUUUGACGUGUCACACCUUCGCAAGUGUUUCAAGACUCCUGACCGCGCCAUCAACUUCGAAGAGAUUGAUCUCCAAGAAGACAUGUCUUAUCAUGAUCAUCCCGUUGCUAUUCUUGAAGAAACUGAGCGCAAGACUCGCAACAAGACUAUCCAAUUCCUGAAAGUGAAGUGGUCACAUCAUUCCGACCGAGAAGCCACCUGGGAGCGCGAGGACCACCUCCGUUUCGAAUAUCCAGAGUUCUUUCUGUCCUAGAUCUUGGAACGAGAUCCUUUCAUAGUGGUGGAGUGUUGUAACACCCACGAUGUAACUUACCAUAUUUGUACUCCAACUCUUGCCAUUUUCGGCUCUAAGUUAUGAGAUUUCUCCAUGGUUGGGUUUUCUAUUCGGUUUGCAUUUUCUCCAUGUCAUGCAUUGCAUAUCAUGUCAUCAUGUGCAUCUCUUUUGCAUACGUGUUUGUCUCAUGCAUCUAAGCUUUUUCCCCGUUGCCCAUUUUGCGAUCCAACACUCCUACGUCCUCCGGCGCCCCCUUCUGUCUCUUUUUGUGAGCGGGUGCUAAACGAUCUCGGAAGGGACCGAUAUUUGCCAAGAGGCCUUGGUACACCACCGGUAGAACGCCCGUCAAGUUUCGUGCCAUUUGGAGUCCGUUUGAUACUCCAACGGUUAACAGGGGAACCGUAAAGGCCUCGUGUGUGUUGCAGCCCAACACCCCUCCAAAGUGGCCCAAUAAACCAUCCAAAACCCCUCCAUCCUCGCGGUCGUUCGAUCACAAUCGUGUGGCCGAAAACCGCUCUACAUUUGGACACUCCAAACUCCUCCUACCUAUAAAUUGAUGCCUCCCCCCGAAAUCUCACAUUCCAAAACCCUAAUUUCAUCCCCCGCUGCCGCCGGACACGUCCGGGCAGAGCCGGACGCGUCCGCCACCACCGCCCGGCCAACCAGGGGCUGCCACGUGGCCCUCCGCCGCUGCCCACCGCCGCCGACNNNNNNNNNNNNNNNNNNNNNNNNNNNNNNNNNNNNNNNNNNNNNNNNNNNNNNNNNNNNNNNNNNNNNNNNNNNNNNNNNNNNNNNNNNNNNNNNNNNNNNNNNNNNNNNNNNNNNNNNNNNNNNNNNNNNNNNNNNNNNNNNNNNNNNNNNNNNNNNNNNNNNNNNNNNNNNNNNNNNNNNNNNNNNNNNNNNNNNNNNNNNNNNNNNNNNNNNNNNNNNNNNNNNNNNNNNNNNNNNNNNNNNNNNNNNNNNNNNNNNNNNNNNNNNNNNNNNNNNNNNNNNNNNNNNNNNNNNNNNNNNNNNNNNNNNNNNNNNNNNNNNNNNNNNNNNNNNNNNNNNNNNNNNNNNNNNNNNNNNNNNNNNNNNNNNNNNNNNNNNNNNNNNNNNNNNNNNNNNNNNNNNNNNNNNNNNNNNNNNNNNNNNNNNNNNNNNNNNNNNNNNNNNNNNNNNNNNNNNNNNNNNNNNNNNNNNNNNNNNNNNNNNNNNNNNNNNNNNNNNNNNNNNNNNNNNNNNNNNNNNNNNNNNNNNNNNNNNNNNNNNNNNNNNNNNNNNNNNNNNNNNNNNNNNNNNNNNNNNNNNNNNNNNUCCUGCCGCCGCCAUCCGCCGCCGACUCCACCGCGGUCCUUGGCCAAGCUCCUCCAUCGCGUGCCGUCCUCGCCGGAUCCGGCCACCUCGACCUGCUCCGGCCUCUCCCCGCUGUCCCUGACGUCCUCCGGCCGCCGCGUCCCACGUCUCCGGCGAGAGCAACUUCUACGAACCUCGUGGACCGCGCCAGAUCUAGAUCAGAACCCUAGAGGUUGACCCAAUUUUUGCCAGUCAUUUUCAUCUGCUAUAUUUUCAAGCACUGUUCAACAUGCCAUAAAUCCUCAUCCAUAGCUCCGUUUUGUGCGUGCCAUAUAUCAAAAUGUUCAUCUUGAUGUGCUCUUAAUUUUGUUCCAUUGUGACCUGCUUCUUUGAGUCCAUCUUGAUGCCCAACUCAUGGGUGCAAGAGUGCUAUAAAAUGUUAGUUCCUGUUUCUUAGUAGAGUAUGAGCAUUUGCCAUUUUUGCUACAAUCGUUGUGUGCUUCAUAUGGGCAUGAGCUUUACAUGUGUUUUGGGCUAUGCCAUGCCAUCUUUACAGGUGUGUAUGCCAUGUAUUUUUGUGAUCAAUGUGGUGACUAGCACAAGCAUGCAAAGUAGCUCUCAUAAUAUUACUGAUUUCAGGGACUUAGAAUUUCACUAAGUCAUUGCUCUGCUGUUAUUUUUAUGCCAUGUAUUCAUGUUGCUAUAGUGAGAUCCAUGCAUCUUUUUAGUAUAUUAAGUAAGGAUCAUUUUGACAUAUGGUUAUGCUCUAUCCAUCGAUGCUCCUGUUUGAAUUUAUGGAGUGCCCUAGAAUGACUCAAUCUCGCUCCAUGUUUGCUAUAAAAUGUUCCUGGCAGAUUGUUUACGUGUUAAUCAAUUUUGCCAUGGUUGUUCUUGCUGUGGUUAGCUUCACGAUCAUGUCUUCUUGCUGGUAGUAUGCUUAGCUUGUGAUGCAAGGCUUCGUGAUGAGUGAAUCGAGGUCGCAAAGAUGCCUUCAUUACUCUGUUUUUGCCAUGUCCAGUUUUCUGCUAAGUUUGAAUCUGUUAACGAAACUUGCUAUGUUUACAUGGGUGCCAUCAUAUGUUCGGAUCCUUUUUGGCUUAUGGCCAAUAAGGGAGUUUUGUUAUAUGCUUUGAGUAGAGUCAUGCCAUGCCUUGUAUUUCUAUGUUCUGUUCCUGUAGCAUGUUGUUAUAUUGCUCUAAACAUUGCUUCCUGAUGUUAAUUCCUGGCAUGUUAGUAUUUUCACUAAGUCUGUGAAGCUGAUAUCUUUUGCCCUUUUGCCAUGCUUGUUUGAACCUGCUAUUCUGUGAUUUACCCGUAGCUCAGUGUUCAUGUUUUUUCAAGCAUCUUGAGUAGAUCACUGCCAUGUGCUUUAUUGUUAUGUUGUAGUGUAGUAGCUUAGUUUCUUGUUGCAUUCUAGAUGGCUUCGUGUUGUUAAUCGCAGAAUUGUGCCAUUAUAGUUUUGAUUGCCAUUUGCAAACCGUGCAUCUGAUUUCGGUGAUCUUUAUAUCGAUCUCGACCGAAACCAACUCGUCUUUCCAGCGGCGCACUUGGUUUGCCAAGUUGAGGCAUGGUUCAAUCUUUUCCUUCCGGAGCACGCAUAUGCAUUGCAUAUCACAUCCCGCAUGUCAUGCCAUGUUUUGCAUCACGUUGCUUGCGCAUUGCACCGUGGUUGAUUGUGGUUUCUGUUGAUUGUGUUCUUGCCUUGGGUAGAGCCGGGAGACGAGUUCGUGAUUGAGGAACCCAUUGAGUACGCUUACGAGGAUCAAGCUUUCGUCAACUCGGAGAACUUUGCAGGCAAGAUGACCAUACCCUCGAAAUCACUUCUAUCUUUGCUUGCUAGUUGCUCACUCUAUUGCUAUGUCACGGUACUUACCACUUGUUAUAUCAUGCCUCCCAUUUGCCAUGACAAGCCUCUAACCCACCUUUCCUAGCAAACCAUUGUUUGUCUAUGUUACCGCUUUGCUCAGCCCCUCUUAUAGUGUUGCUAGUUGCAGGUGAAGAUGGAGUUUGUUCCUUGUUGGAACAUGAUUAUUGUUGGGAUAUCAUUAUUAUAUCUUGUUACUUUAAUGCACCUAUAUACUUGGUAAAGGGUGGAAGGCUCGGCCUUAUGCCUGGUGUUUUGUUCCACUCUUGCCGCCCUAGUUUCCGUCAUACUAGUGUUAUGUUCCUUGAUUUUGCGUUCCUUACGCGGUUGGCUUAUAAUGGGAACCCCUUGACAGUUCGCCUUGAAUAAAACUCCUCCAGCAAGGCCCAACCUUGGUUUUACCAUUUGCCACCUAAGCCUUUUUCCCUUGGGUUCCGCGGACUCAAGGGUCAUCUUUAUUUUAAACCCCCGAGCCAGUGCUCCUCUGAGUGUUGGUCCAAACUAGAGCACCGUGCGGGGCCGUCCCUUGGCAACUUGAGUUACGUUGGCUCCUGUACGCUUAGCUUCUCCAGUGUGCCCUGAGAACGAGAUAUGUGGAGCUCCUAUCAGGAUUUGUCGGCACAAUGGGUGGUCUUUCUGGUCUUGUUUUACCAUUGUCGAAAUGUCUUGUAACCGAGAUUCCGAGUCUGAUCGGGUCUUCCUGGGAGAAAGAAUAUUGUUCGUUGACCAUGAGAGCUUGUGAUGGGCUAAGUUGGGACACCCCUGCAGGGUUUCGAACUUUCGAAAGCCAGGCCCGUAGUUAUGGGCAGAUGGGAAUUUGUUAAUGUCUGGUUGUAGAAAACUUGAAACUUAACUUAAUUAAAAUGAAUCAACCACGUGUGUAGCCGUGAUGGUCUCUUUUCAGGGGAGUCCGGGAAGAGAACACAGUCUCGUGUUAUGCUUGAACGUAGGUAGUUUCAGGAUCACUGCUUGAUCUUUAUAGAUUCUCAACCAUGCCUUGCUUCUCUUCUUUCUCUCAUUUGCGUAAUUUAGCCACCAUAUAUGCUAGUGCUUGCUGCAGCCAUACCUCACUACUACCUUUUCAUACCCAUAAGUUUAAAUAAUCUUGAUCACGAAGGUGUGAGAUUGCUGGGUCCCCGUGACUCACAGAUUACUUCCAAAACCAGAUGCAGGUGCCGAUGAUGUCAGUGCAGGGGACGCGACCAAACUCUAGUUGGAGUUUGACGAAGAUUCUGGACGUUACUAUGUGUCUUUUCCGGACGAUCGGUAGAGGAGCCCAGUUGGGGCGAUCGGGGGUCUAUUGCAUUAGGGGUUGUCUUUCUUUAUUUGGUUCCGUAGUCGGACCUUGAUUGUAUCUGGAUGAUGUAAUGCUAUAUUUAUGUAUUGUGAAGUGGCGAUUGUAAGCCAACUCUUUAUCCCUUUCAUAUUCAGUACAUGGGAUGUGUAAAGAUUACCCCUCUUGCGACAUGCCUACUAUGCGGUUAUGCCUCUAAGUCAUGCUCCAACACGUGGGAGAUAUAGCCACAUCAUGGGUGUUACAUCAUAUGAAGUCUAAAAUUAUCAAACUUGGCAUGUGGACAAAGUACUCAUAGCGUACUUCAAAUCAUGUAACUGGGGCACCUCCAAAAGAGACAUAGUUUAAUUAAUAACAAGCUCACAACAUGGCAUCAUGAAGUUAACAGAAAACUAGAGCAUCAUUUAGGCAUGUUCAUGGCAAUGAAAACAUAUGCUACAGGACAUAUAUGAGGCAUCAAAUGGAAUGGCAUGAUAGAGCAUAACAUUAACAUCCAAACAUGUCAACUAUUCAUCUCCAGAUUAUGCAUGGAAUAGAUGGUAGCAUCAAACUAACAUGACAUCACAAUGUAAUAGUUAUAGACAUAGAAAAAAUCACCAAGUCUCAUAAAUCAGCAACAUCAAGUAGCACACUUCACAAGCUUGUGCUAGUCACCACACAUAAAAAUACAUGGAUUGCCCCUCUGUAAAGAUGGCAUGAAGAUGCUCCUAAACCAUGUUGACAUGAUGCUCAAAAUAUGAACACACAAAAUACUAUGAAAAAGACAAAUCAGCAAGUUAUAACAAUUUUCAGCAGUUAACAACACAUGGCACUAUUGCAACAAUGAUUAAGGCAUCAAGAUUAACAUUAAAAUGCAUGCAAAUGACACUACAAUGUAGAGCAUUCAUAGACGAACAAUUUGACAUAACAUGCACGCAAAACGGAGCAAUAUGCGUGAAGUUACGACAUGAUGAGCAUGCACACAUGAUGUUCGAAUCUGGGGACUUAGCAAAAAUUAUACCCUCCAAAAAAGUCAAUGCGGGAUGAGGAGAAGCGGGACGGAGGGAUCCGGGCAUGGAGGCGACGUUUGGUUAGGCGAACCGGUGGAUCUGGUCCACCUCCGGAUCCGGCGACGGAGGAGGACGCCGGCGAGGCUUUCCGGCGAGUGCGAGGUCUGGGAAGGGCGGCGGUGGCGUGGCGAGGCUCCGGCAGCAAGGCGCGGUUGUCAGUGUCAAAACCGGCUGAUCUCGGGCAGGGGGUCCCGAACUGUGCAUCUAGGAUCGAUGGUAAUAGAAGACGAGGGACACAAUGUUUACCCAGGCUCGGGCCCUCUCUAUGGAGGUAAUACCAUACUUCCUGCUUGAUUGAUUUUGAUGAAUAUGAGUAUUACAAGAGUUGAUCUACCAUGAGAUCGUAAUGGCUAAACCCUAAAAGUCUAGUUUGGCUAUGAUUAUUCAGGGCAUCUACGGACCUAGCCCUCCGGUUUAUAUAGACACGGAGGGAUCUAGGGUUACACAUGGUCGGUUAUAAAGAAAGGAAUCUUCAUAGUCGAUGCAAAAGCUUGCCUUCCAUGCCAAGGAGAGUCCCAUACGGACACGGGUAGAGUCUUCGGUCUUCAUAUCUUCACGGCCCAACAGUCCAGCCCAUAUCAAUAGGUCAGACGCCCGAGGACCCCAUGGUCCAGGACUCCCUCAGUAGCCCCUGAACCAAGCUUCAAUGACGAUGUGUCCGGCGCGUAGAUUGUCUUCUGCAUUGCAAGGCGGGUUCCACUUUUCCGAAUUCUCCAUGAUAGUUUCCGGAUCUGCAACACAAGUACCACACACGACAACAGGGAAUAUAAUAUUUCACGAGUACUAUCUGCUGACAACUUUUUUAUAAGAUGGCAUCACGUCUGUCAAGUUGUGAUUUCGAACCAUUUCCUAUUCCACAUUCGAGGUGCUUUUUUAUUGGCAUGUUUUGUCGAAGCAGAGAUCGUGUCCCCCUAUUGCGGGAUCCUCAUUAAUACGAGCGUGGGUAACCCAACCGUUCCACGGGAAAGAUUCCUUGGAAAUAGGCAGGUUCUUAGGCUUAGGAGGAGGCGUUCAAUACCAACCGCCUUUAUAAAGGAACCAAGGACUGUCCCGUUACGCCAAACCUCUCCUCAACCUUCCCAACCUCAAGUUUUAGCACCCAAGGUUCGACCUCAUUGCUCGAAGAUUCCCCAUCAUGUCCGGACCCAGCCCUCAAGGUCGAUGGGUGGCUUCCUCCGUCAUGGAGGAGGAUAUUGCAAAGCUUCCGGCGGCCAGAUACCUGACGCGGAGAUCCACCAUAGGCUCCCUGCUCAAGGACAGGUUGUUCCGACCCCCAGAUCUGGCGAGAGGGUUGUUUCUAUCUCUCACUUACUCCGAGGGCUAGGAUUCGCUCUCCACCCCUUUGUCCGGGGGCUAAUCUUUUAUUACAAACUAGAUUUUCUCGAUCUAGCUCCAGAUUCUUUCCUUCAUGCCUUGGUGUUUAUUGUCACGUGCGAGGCCAUCCUCUGAAUCCCCCCACACUUCGGCUUAUCCCUCAAGACCUUUGGUGUAAAGCCAAAGGUAGUUGACGGGGAACAAGUGGAGUGCGGUGGUGUUGUAGUAAGCCGGCUUACCAACACUCCCUGGCCAAAAGUUUCUUUCACUAAAUCUUCCAAUCAAUGGCAGCGAGAGUGGUUGUACGUUACAGAACCCCGUAGCACCAAGUGGGCAGCUACACCAGCGUUCCGUUCCAGCCCUCCAUUACAGCUUGCAUCAUGCGUUAAUAAGGGGCUGGACUGGGGAUCAAUCGAUGAAGUGCGGACUCUAUAGAGCCACAUCCGAACCCUCCUUGAGAGGGACAUCGAUCUUGUCAACGUGUUUCAAGUAAUGUUAAUCCGCCGAAUAUUGCCAUGCCAGCGUAGGCCUCUCCGCAUGUGGGAGUUUAAUCCAGAAGGGCCACGAACCCUCAAACACUUAUUCGGUUCUAUGCACAAAGGGAUGUGGAAGAUGUUUUUUGGGAAACGAAAACAUUGCCCGGACACCUCCGAAGACGUCGGCCUUGACUGCAACCGUCCGGACACCCCAGUAAGCCCUUGUCUUUCGAACACUUUGUAGUUAAGUAUAUUGUGAUAUGUUACCGAACAAAUUAUCUUCUUUCAGGGCUGGAUAAAGAAAGCGGAACUAAUUAGGUGUUCGGCCCCCCUUCACGAAGCCUCAGCGGAUUCCGUAUUAAGAUGGAUGCCGGCCCCAACACCAUACCAGAUGCAUGCGAACGAGGAGAAGAGGGGGAACGGGAGGACCAAAGAGGGCCUCCAUCUCGAAGAUAUUUUAGACGCCGUGUCCGGGUAGAUAAAACUCCCAUCACCCGAAGGCAAAAGUAAAGGGGAAGUCUACGUUCAUUCCCCCCAUGGCAAGAAAAGGGACGUCUCCGAAGAUUGGGAUGAAAAGGCUCCCAAGCGAGGCAAGAUGCCCCUGUCGGGCGGCUCGGGCUUGAAGGACGACAUUAUCGCGCAGUUCUCCAGCGAGGCCAAGCCUAAAUCGUAAGCAAACAAGGGCAUUUUACACAUACCCCAUUCCUCCCCUAUGACCAGGGUAACAUCUAAAAUGUAUGUUCUUUGCAGCUCGGCACACAAUCUUUCUCAACAAUCGUCUUCCUCAGGAGACCUUCUCCCAGAGAUGAUGGAAAGCGAGACGCCUCCACCAGUCUCCUCGCCCAAUAAGGUGGAUGACCUCGAGGUGUCGUCCUGGAGGGUCUCUCCUGAUCCGCAAGCGAUGCGAGGGGUGAUGAAAACAUGAGCCAAAGCUGAUGCUUCGGUAGCCCAGGGUCCAGGGACCAACAAUGAAGGCCCCGGACUGUGCGGCUUUCAGCCGGAGAUAACUCUAGGGGAGAAUGAAUGAAUCCCUACUACGGUUGGCGGGGGGUGGGGUCGUGAGAAGAGCGGAUCUAACAGGUAGCACAUGGUUCAUUUAUCCAGGUUCGGGCCGCGAGGAUGCGUAAAACCCGACUCCUGCUUUGGUGGAUUGUAUAUCUGUGUUCUUGAGCUAGCUAUGGGGCGUGAGGAGGUCCUAAAAGCCGAAUCCUUUUCCUGGUCACCUCGGGCCUCCUUUUAUAGAAAAAGGGGUUGCCACAGUGGCACAGAUGAGGUGGAAAGGGUACAGUGAUGCGAGGUUAUCCCUCGCAUUACAUGACAAGGCCCAUUUAAUGCGUCUUGCUUAGGUGUCCUUGCUUUAUCGGGGACAGUGGAGAGAUCUGUCUCGUCCGUCGCCACUCCUCCUUGUGUCGACACGCGCCCUGCCAGUGAUGCCUGAGAUGCCACGUAGGUAGGUAGGCAGCUGAGGUGGCGCAGUGGUGGGUCUUCACGAAGAUCUGCAUGCCGCCACGCAGGUGCCUGCCCAGCUGGUUGGGUCGGCAGUUGCAUGUGAACGGCGGUGGAGGUUUAGUCGGCGUGGGCCUGAUGGUGGCCCUGCGGGUGUUCUCGGAAAGGGCCUUACCGGGGCCCCGGCAAGGGUCUUGCCGAGGCGCCUGCUGUCAUCCCCGGAAAGGCGCUUGCCGGGGGCCUUGUGGUCUUCCUCGGCUGGGAUCCCGCCAAGGGUUGUCGUCUCCUUAGUGUGUAUCUGGUCUUGAAUGUCUUCACGAAGAUCUGCAUGCCGCCACGGGGAUGUCUCCCGAAUCCUUGCCCUUUAGGGGCAAUGGACUCAAGGGUGAUUCGCUCCGUAGGCGCGGGACGAUUCGCCACGGCAAGGGUCUUGCCGGGGCUGCUAGAACUGUCUUCCGGCAAGGAUCUUGCCGGGGGAGUCCGCUUCGUCCCCUUUGCUCUUCAUGGUCUUGGCCUUGGUGUCGUAGUUCUCUUGAGCUUCGGUCUUACCCUGGCUCACCUCCCUUGCCUUGCUCGAUGUGGUGCUGCCUAUGGCUCAGACUUCUCGUGCACAGUUAUAGGGGUACAAAAAGUGUACCCCUUUUUUUGUACACCGAUAGGAGCCCCCGAGCCUGGGCCACACAUAAGCGCAACGCGUUGUUGGGCUAGGCCCAAAAACGGUGCGCGGGCAGGCGGGGCAGUUUUUACCGCGGUAAAAUUCUUCACGCGUUGCGCUUCCCACGAUUCCCCCGCGUGGCGCGGCGUGGGGAGGUGCGUGUGACGUGGGCAUCAUGCUUGGGGUUGGUUCCCGCAGGCAUGCGUCACAUCGUAGUAAAGGGGCGGUUCGUGCCUUCCCCAUAAACGGAGGGAGGCGUGGAGGCGCGGCCCAUUUACUGAAUGGGGCUGAGGCGCGGUCUUCAAGGCGUCCACUCCCCAUGAUCACGGGGUGGGGAGUGGUCGUCUCACCCGUCCCCUCGGUUCUGCACGUCCGCCAUGUGUCUCCCAUGCGCCUGGGGUGGCGAAUGGUCGAGGCGGGAAACUGGGCCGUCGCUGGUUGGGGCGGCGGGUCGGUCCUGGCUCCCUGCGCCUUCCGUCGCUGGUUGGCUCCAUUUUACGCUGAUGGAGGGUGGCCUUCUCUCCAUCAAGGUCUUCGGGUGCUUCGGUUCCCGUGAAAGGUGCUGCGUGGAGAGCUCUUCUGAUAGCGAAGAUUCCUCCUCGGGCGGGAGUGACGAGGAGGACAGCGGCAGCGACAACGAGGGUAGUAGGCGGCAGGAUGACGGGUCCGAUUAGGUGUCGGGUGCCGCUCCGUGCGGCACCGGCAACCCCAUCAUCCGUGUCGCAGGCUCCCUGAACUUCUCGGGGUCGUCUCCUUGGGCGGCUGGCAUUGGGAGGCUACAGAAGAGGAAGAGGGCGGGCGGCAACGCCGUCAAGUCGGAGCAUGCGGGCACCGAUGCCUUCGGCGCGUGCUGACGUCCUGCCGCCUCGUCUUCGAGCUGUGCUUCCGGCGCCGCCAUCACCACCCAGCCUUUGUACGGCCACCAAGAUGUUCUCUUGGUGUCUUCUGCCACCCGUAGCCCGCCUAGGCGCUCCUUUUGUCCUUUUCGCCUCCUUGACCUGCCUCCUGAGGCGAGGGACAAGAAAGGGAUUACGGGCACCUUAUCUCUUUUUAGUUUGUAAGCCUUCGAGCCUUUGUUGAAUUUAAAACUUGUAAUCCCAUCAUUCAUGUUUUUCAUUCCCUAUGGACUGUACCUGAGUGGAAUGUUUUUAAUGAAAAAGGGAUGCUUUGCUGGGUCAUUUGUUUGCAGGUGGAACCCAUGACAAGGAGUAAAUCCUUAACAUCCUCAAGAUAAACAUUUCCUUGCCCGGCAACAGGCCUUCCCGUCUCCCCACUUCACCUGACCUUCCUCACGCCUUUGGCGGAGGCAGGGAUGAGGCUGGUUCAGGCUCCUUGUUUCAUCCUUUCGUUGCCGCGACUACGACCAAACUUGGCCCCAGGAACGAGCCCUAGGGCCUAGAGUUAUCGGAGCAUGGUAGCUUAGGGGAAAACGAGGUUUCACAUACCUCAGUCCAUAAUGGAAUGCAUGAUAAGGGAUGAAGAACUUAUCUGAAGCUGUAGUCCCCGGCAACCCUGGUUCGCUGUGGGUGAAUCUUUGCUCUUGCAGCCCCCGGCAAUACUGGCUUGCCAGGGGCUAGAUGUUGGUCUGUUCCUCUUUUUUUCCUCCCCAAGUGGUUCGGCACGGAUAUCCGUGUGUUCUAUGAACCAAAGAAGACAAAAGAGAGACGCACACUCGACCUCUAAGCUAGGGGUUAGUCGCCGUUAAGCACUAUCAACCCUAACCAAGGACGAGACUCGACCUAGCAUGCAUGCUAUAACUUAGGGCACCAGCGCUUCAUUUACUUAUGCUCAGGGUCUGCGCCUGGCUUUGUACAGAGGGUUACAUGCGUCAUCGGCAAGGCUCGUACAAAAGGUGGCUUGCCGGGGGGCCCAACAAGCCGCGCCUCAUGGGUAAAACUUGCGAAGAUGCUCAAUGUUCCAAGAGUUACUCACCGGAAUGGCAUCUUUGGUCUCUAGGCGAACUGCGCCGGGCCUGGUGACUCGUAUUACCCGAGAAGGGCCUUCCCACUUUGGAGUCAACUUGUUGGAAUUUUUGGCCGAUUGAACGCGCCGAAGAAUAAGUUCGCCUUCCUCAAGGCUUCAGGCAUGAACCUUGCGGCCAUGGUAGCGGCGCAAGGCUUGCUGGUAGCGCACUGCUCUCACAGCCGCCCGAAGACGAUCUUCCUCAAGGAGCGUUGCGUCAUCUUGGCGCAGUUGCUUUUGCUCAAGCUCAUCAUAAGAGAGUACUCGAGGUGACCUGUAUAUGAGUUCAGUGGGGAGAACUGCUUCUGCCCUGUAUACCAGGGCAAAGGGUGUCUGGCCGGUGGCUCGAUUUGGCGUCGUUCUGAUUGACCAAAGAACCGCCAACAAUUCAUCAAUCCAGCGCCUUCCACUCUUGCACAGCCUGUCAAAGGUCUUUGUCCUUAAGCCUCGCAACACUUCAGCGUUUGCCCUCUCAGCUUGACCAUUGCUUCAUGGGUGAGCAAUGGAAGCGAAACAGACUUUGCUGCCGAGGUCUUGGGUAUAUUGCAUGAAGGUGCGGGUUGUGAAUUGUGUACCGUUGUCGGUGAUGACCCUGUUGGGUACACCAAAACGGCACACUAGUCCCUUGAAGAAUUUGACAGCUGACUGAGCUGUGACCUUCCUCACUGCUUCCACCUCUGGCCACUUUGUGAACUUGUCGAUUGCGUUGUACAAGUACUCAAAGCCCCCGACAGCGCGGGGGAAAGGGCCCAGUAUGUCGAACCCCCAGACCGAGAAAGGGCCAGGAGAGAGGAAUGGUUUGAAGGGCUUGAGCUGGCUGAUGAAGUUUCUUUGAAUGGAACUGACAUGCUUCACACCUGGUGACUAGUGUCGUCACAUCCUGGAGGGCAGUGGGACAGAAGAAGCCUUGCCGAAAUGCGGGCAAGGGCUCUUGACCCUAUGUGGGAUCCACAUAUGCCUCCAUGUAUCUCCGCCAACAGCCCCAGUCCUUCCUCUCGAGGGAUACACUUCAAUUUCACGCCGUUCGGCCUCUUUCUGUAUAGGACGUCAUCGACGAACUGGUACAUAGUAGAGCGACGGGCUACUUUUUCCGCUUCUUCCUGCUCCUCAGGAAGUUCCCCUGUUUGGAGGAAUCAGACGGUAUGUUGUGCCCACGCUGGAGCCUGGGGCUCGACGGUGAGGACUAAAUGCAUUUCCUCCGCUACAGGAGCGGCUGUCUCGACGACAAGAGCUUGAUGCUCCGCCGGAGCUAGCCAUCCCGUGGCAGGCUCAGUAUCUCCGGCAACAUCCUUGCCGGCGGCUCCGGGGAGCUCGGCGGGAAAGUACUUGCUGGGCCCUGAUUUCCUUCUCUUGUUUUGCUCUGUUGAUGGAUCAACGGAUGGUUGAGUUAGCUGAAGCACAAAGGUACCUGGUUCCAUAGGUAGCUUGAGGGCAGCGUGCUUUGACAGGUAAUUGGCGAUGUCGUUCUCGGCUCGGGGAACAUGCUCCGCCUGUAUACCAUCAAAAUGCUCUUCUAGCUUUCUCACUUCAUCGACGUAGGCCUUCAUCAAUGGGCUCUGGUAAUCUUUGUUUACUUGUUUGAUGACAAGUUGCGAGUCGCCCCUGACGAUGAGCUUCUUGAUUCUAAGGUCUGCCGCGAUCCUAAGACCAGCAAGCAGCCCCUCGUAUUCAGCAAUAUUGUUUGUUGACACCUCCCUGGGGAAGUGCAUCUGGAUCACGUACUUGAGGUGCUCUCCGGUGGGCGCGACAAGCAGUACGCCAGCCCCGGCGCCCUGUAAGGAGAAAGCUCCAUCAAAGUACAUGAUCCAGUCGCAACUUGCCUCCUUGCCGAGGAGAGCAGUCUCUUGAGUAUCUUUGCCAGGCGUCGCAGUCCAUUCUGCAACGAACUCCGCCAGGACUCGGCUUUGAAUCAUCGAGGCACUCUCAAACUUGAGGCCAAAGCUGGACAGUUCCAGUGCCCCCUCUACGAUCCUUCCCGUUGCGUCUGGAUUGUGCAAUAUCCGUUGCAGAGGGAGGCGAUUGAUGACAGUGAUUUCGUGCACCUGGAAGUAGUGACACAGCUUCCUCGAGGCCAUAAGAAGGCCGAAGAGCAGUUUCUGCACACCGGAGUACUUUGAUCUAGCCCCCUGCAAAAGGGAGCUAACAAAGUAGACCGGGUGCUGCAUCAUCUUCUUCCUUAGCAGCACUCCAACCGGCUGUGUCGUCUCGGCAUCGGUGGCAUUGGGCUCCGUCGCUGUUAUUACCUCAUCAAUAAUUUCUCUCUGCGCCACUAGUGUGGCGCUGACCACCUGGUUCGUUGCCGCCAGGUACAGCAACAACAGUUCCUGUGGCCUAGGCGCAACUAGUAUUGGCGCGGAGGAGAGGUUCCUCUUCAAAUCUUGCAAUGCUGCUUCGGCUUCUGGCGUCCACUCCAUCGGGCCCGCCUUUUUCAAAAUCUUGAAAAGGGAAGGGCGCGCUCGGCGGACAUGGAAAUGAACCUGCUCAUGGCGGCAACACAACCAGCAAGCCGAUGCACAUCCUUGACUCGAUUGAGCGCUUCAAUCUGCUCUAUAGCUUUGAUCUUGUCCGGAUUGGCCUCUAUCCCACGCUAUGACACAAAGAACCCGAGAAGCUUGCCAGAUGGGAUGCCGAAGACGCACUUCUCGGGGUUCAGCUUGAUAUUGAUCUUGCGUAGGUUUGCAAAUGUUUCUUGUAAAUCUGAUAUGAGGGCUGCCCUAUUCUUGGUUUUGACCACUAUAUCAUCCAUAUAAGCUUCCAUAUUUCUAUGGAGCUGGUGUUCAAAACCAAUCUGGACCGCCCUUGCAAACGUUGAACCAGCACUCUUCAACCCGAAAGGCAUCCGUAUAAAUCAAUACGUACCACAUGGGGUGAUGAAUGCCGUUUUCUCUUCAUCUUCCCUUGUCAUGAAGAUCUGGUGGUAGCCGGAGUAGGCAUCGAGGAAUGACAACAAAUCACACCCAGCUGUGGAGUCAACAAUCUGGUCGAUGCACGGCAACGGGAAGGGGUCUUUGGGACAAGCCUUAUUAAUAUCUGUGUAAUCAAUACACAACCUCCACUUCCCAUUUGCCUUGCGCACUACCACCGGAUUGGCCAACCACGUCGGAUGGAGCACUCCUCUUACCAAACCCGCUGCUUCCAAUUUCUGGAUCUCCUCUGUGAUGAACUCUUGUCAUUCGAAAGCUUGCUUUCUGACCUUCUACUUGACGGGCUGCACAUGAGGACAGACAGCAAGGUGGUGCUCAAUCACCUCCUUGGGAACGCCGGGGAUGUCGUAUGCUUGCCAUGCAAACACAUCGACAUUCGCCCGCAAGAAGGUGACGAGCGCGUCUUCCUAUUUGUCGUCAAGGGUGGAGCUUAUGGUAAAAGCUCCUCCCGCGCCGUCCUCCUUGACAGAAACCUUCUUGGUUCCCGCCAGUGUGGCCCCGGACUUCUUGUUUCUGUCGGCGGAGCUCUUGGCACGUCCUCGACGGGAGCGCUACACUCCGAAGAGGUGCGCUUGCCGGAGUGGGUGCCUGAGGUCUCACCGGUCUUCUUCUUUUGCCUUCCUGGGGCUCCAGUGGCAGGAGCAAGCGCCUUAGCAGUGGCAGCUGCUGCAACUGCUUGUUGGUAGAGUUGGUCAGCGCAAAUUAGCGCAUCCUUCUUGUUUGACGGGACGGUGAUGAUCAUCAUAGGCCCCGACAUCUUCAGGGUGUUGUAGGCAUAAUGUGACGCCGCCAUGAACUUGGCCAGCGCUGGGCGGCCAAGGAUCCCGUUGUAAGGCAAGGGGAUUUUGGCAACGUCGAACACAACCCUUUCUGUCCUGUAGUUUAGAUCACUCCCAAAAGUCACAGGCAAUGUGACCUUUCCCUUUGGUUGACUUCUUCCCGGGUGUACCCCCUGAAACGUGCCCGUCUCUUCGAGGUCUUCAUCAGGAAUCUGCAAUUUCUCGAUCACGGCAGGCGAGAUUAAGUUCAGACCGGCCCCACCAUCGACUAGCAUCUUUGUCACCUUGAGGUUGCGUAUUGUUGGUGAAACCAACAAUGGCAAGCACCCGACUGCAGUAGUGCGAUCAGGGUGAUCCUCAGUGUAAAAAAUGAUAGGUGUGCUGGACAACUUCAGCGGCCUUUGGGCAUCAAAUGAUGGUUACGCCGCUGUAAUCUCAUGCGCCCACUGUUUAAGCUGGCGGUGAGAGGUAUGCAGGGAGGCACCGCCAUCGACGCACAUGGCCUCUGUAGCUUUCUGAAAUCCUUGGUCACCAGACUCAUCGUCCUCUUCGUGAUCAUCGUCUUCUGGCUUUUUGUCACGGCCCCGCGCGGGCCUCUCCCGUUGUUUAUCUUUGCCGCGACGGCCCGCAUGGCAAUCACGCUUCUUGCCGGACCCCUCAGCACCGUCCUGGCCUUUCUCCUUGUCCCGCCUCUCAUAUUCAGCCCUCCGCUUCUCAGCAAGGAGCUCAACCUGUCGGCAGUUCUGGAGAUCAUGGCCUUUGGUGCGAUUGAUCUUGCAGUCUUGCUUGUCGGAGCUUCCUGGCUUCUCGGCAGCCGCCAAGGCCCGGCAGGCGACACAUCUGGCAGUUUCCUUACCGGGGUCAUCUGCCUUGGUUUUCUUGGCAGAGCCGGAGUUGCCAGAUCCCUCGACGGCAAGCACAGCUUUACCUUUGCGCUUCCUGUUGCGGCGCCGGCCUUUCUUCGCCGGGGCGGCAGUAUCCUCAUCUGAGGAGUUGGUUUCCACGCCGGCAUCUUCGCCGGGGUACUUCCUUCCCUCUUCAGCUCGGGCACAUUUGUCAGCAAGAACAUAGAGUUCUGCCACAUCUUUCACCUUGUUCAUUGCCAGUUCUUCGCGCAUCUUGCGGUUGCGCACGUUCUGAUGGAACGCGCUGAUGAUGGCGGCAGGGUGAACAUCAGGGAUAUUGUACUGUACCCGGCUGAACCUCUGUAUAUACUUGCGCAGACUCUCGCCUCCCUUCUGGGGAAUGACAUGCAGGUCGCUUGCUUGGCCAUGGGCUUGGUGACCCCCAGUAAAGGCACCCACAAACUCAUGGCACAAAUCCGACCAGGAGGAAAUAGAGUCUACCGGCAAGUGCAUUAACCACGACAUGGCGUUGGCUUUAAGAGCCAAUGGAAAGUAAUUCGCAAGCACCUUAUCGUCGCGGGCUCCGGCGGCUUGCAUCGCGAUGGUGUAGAUGCUGAGGAACUCAGACGGGUGAGUCUUGCCGCUGUACUUUUAGCCAACGUCAGGUUUGAAGGUGCGGUGAGUGGGCCACUGGAAAUGCCGCAGCUCACGGGUAAAAGCGGACAGCCUAUCUCGUAAGGUAGGCCUCCAGGGCUCUCCAGGGCCGGGUGGUUCACAGCAGGCCUGUAACGCCCUCGAUGUGGCUAUAUCUCCUACGUGUCGAAGCACGACUUAGAGGCAUAACCGCAUUGAAAGCAAUGUCGCAAGUAAGGUAAUCUUCACAACAUCCCAUGUAAUACAUAAUAAGGGGAAAUGUAACAUAGUUGGCUUACACUCGCCACGUCACACAAAGUACAUAAAUAGCAUUACAUCAUCCAAUCACUCAUGGCCUGACUACGGUGCUAAAAUAAAAGAUCAACCCAACAUGCGACACGGUCUCGAUCGCCCCAACUGGGCACCACUACUAAUCAGCAGGGAAAGACACAUAAUAACGGCGUGAGUCCUCGUCGCACUCCCACUUGAGCUCAAGCGCGUCGUCUAGAGCGGAAUCAUCAGGCCCUGCAUCUGGUUUGGAAGUAAUCUGUGAGCCACAGGGACUCAGCAAUCUCGCACCCUCGCGAUCAAGACUAUUUAAGAUUAUAGGUAUGGUAAGGUAAUUAUGUGGAGCUGCAGCAAGCAACUAGCAUGUAUGGUGGCUAACCUAUUCGCAAAAGAGAGCGAGAAGAGAAGGCAAGCAUUAGUCCAACACCGUGUUCACUUCCCGGACUCCGCCGAGAAGAGACCAUCACGGUAACUCACACAGUUGAUUCAUUUUAAUUAAGUUAAGGUUCAAGUUAUCUAGAACCAGACAUUAACAAAUUCCCAUCUGCCCAUAACCGCGGGCACGGCCUUCGAAAGUUCAAUGCCUGUAGGGGGGUCCCAACUUAGCCCAUGACAAGCUCUCACGGUCAACAAAGGAUAUACCUUCUCCCGAGACAUUCCGAUCAGACUCGGUAUCCCGGUUCUACAAGACACUUCGACAAGUUAAAACAAAUCCAGCAACACCACCCAGAUGUGCCGACAAAUCCCGAUAGGAGCUACACAUAUCUCGUUCUCAGGGCACACCGGAUGAGCAAGACGUCGGGUAGGCCAGCCCAGAUUUGCCCCUGGUAGCCCCGGACAUCGCUCGAUUGGACCAACACUUAGAGAAGCACUGGCCCGGGGGUGUUUAAAAUAAGAUGACCCUUGAGUCCGCGAAACCCAAGGGAAAAAAGGCUAGGUGGCGAAUGGUAAAACCAAUGUUGGGCAUUGCUGGAGGAGUUUUAUUCAAGGCGAACUAUCAAGGGGUUCCGAUUAUCACCCAACCGCGUAAUGAACGCAAAAUCCGGGAACAUAACACCAAUAUGACGGAAACUAGGGCGGCAAGAGUGGAACAAAACACAAGGCAAAAGGCCGAGCCUUCCACCAUUUACCAAGUAUAUAGAUGCAUUAAGAUAACAAGAUAAUAUAGUGAUAUCCCAACAAGUAAAUAAUGUUCCAACAAGGAACGGUCUCCAAUCUUCACCUGCAACUAGCAACGCUAUAAGAGGGGCUGAGCCAAAGCGGUAACAUAGCCAAUCAAUGGUUUGCUAGGACAUGGUGGGUUAGAGGUUUGACAUGGCAAUUUGAGAGGCAUGAUAAGCAAGUGGUAGGCAUCAUAGCAUAGGCAUAGCAAAAGAGCGAGCAUCUAGCAAAGCAAAGAUAGAAGUGAUUUCGAGGGUAUGAUCAUCUUGCCUGCAAAGUUGUCAGAGUUGACUGGAUCCUCGAAAGCAAACUCAAUGGGCUCCUCGUUAGCGAACUUGUCUCCUGGCUCUACCCAAACAAGACAAACAAGCAAAAGGGAUGCAAUCAACCAUGUGCACAACUCAAACAACACGAUGCAAACAUGGUAUGCUAUGCGGGAUGCGAUAUGGGAUGCAUAUGCAAGAUUCGGCAAGGAAUGAAUGAACCUAGGCUCAACUUGUAAAUCCAAGUGUUCCAAUGGAAAUGUGAGAUGAUUUCGCUUGAAAACGAUAUAAAGAACGCCGGAAUCUGAGACACGGUUUAAAAAUGGCAAGCAAAACAAGAAUGGCGCCGGUCUGCGAUAAACAGCAAGUAGCCAUCUAAAUGCAACAAGUUAAACAUGCUACAGCACCGAAACAUGGCAACAAAAUACAUGGCAGGGAUCCACUCAUGAUGCUUAACAAAAGAUGAACACUGAGCUACGGCCAAAUCAUCCAUUAACAGGUUCAAACAAGCUUGGCAAAGGUGCAAUUGGUAAACAGAUUUCAGACUUAGUGAAAUUAACACUUGUCUGGAAUUUCAGAUCAGGUAGCACACUUUGGAGCAUGAAGACUAUAUGCUACAGGGCCUGAAUCUGGCAAAGCAAAGCACGGAAUGGAGCUACUCAAAGAGCUUAACAAAAGUCCCUUAGUGACCUUGAGCCAAAAGGGAUCAGAAAAUACAAUUGCAAGCAUGUGAACAUGGCAAAAACUUAAACAGAUCACAGGCUUAGUGAAAAACUAGAGCAUGAAAAACAGAUAUCAAGUAGGCAUGUUUACGAGCUCGAUGCACUCACUACAGAGCAUGUCAUGACAAUCUAAGCAUACACCCAUCAAGAAUACACAUUAUACGAGCUAGACAUGGCAAGAACAAUAACAUAGCAUGCACGGACCAACUACAACAUCCUCGGCAAAAUCGCUAACAAGUAGACAAUCUGCCCAGAUUCACGAAAUGACAAAAGUAGAACUCGAUUGUCUCAAGCUAGGGUGCUCCAUAAUUGCAAACAAAGACAUGGAUGGAUAGAGCACUACAAGAUGAAAAAAAUCAUCCUUACUGAUCAUCCUCAAAAGAGGCACAGAUCACCAGGAAACAACAUGAACAUAUGGCAUAUUGAUAAGAACAGCUCAAGGACUUGGUGGAAUUGCUAAGUCCCUGAAAUCAGCAUUAACGAAUGCACCACUUUGCAAGCUUGUGCUAGUCACCACACACAUCACAAAAAUACAUGCAUGGCACCUCUGGAAAGUUGACAACUCAUAUAACAAAACAUAUGUAGAGCUCAGGGGCAUAUCAUGCACACAAUAAUCAUGGCAAAAAUGACAAAUAGCUAAUUGGAUCAGCAGAUCUGGCAAUUAUCUCAAAUAGCAAUCUUCCAACAGCAUUUCUGGCAUCAAGAUGAACUCAAAUGAAAAUGAUGCAAUGAGAUGAAAUGAUGUGCUCUCUGAGACGAACAUUUUGAUAUGCUAUAUGCCCAAAACGGAUCUACGGCUGCAAAGUUACGGCACGAUGAACAUGGCAAUAUAUUUAGGGUUAGGGACGAAAAGUCAACCGAGGGGAUAUUUACCAGAUCUAGAUCCCGCGCGGCACGCUUUAUGAGGAUCGCCGGAGUCGGAGCUCGAGGACCUCGCCGGAGUUGGAAGGUCGGCCGGAGGGGGUGCGGGCGUGGAGGAGGAGGUGCGGCCCGCGGUGGCCGCGGGCGUCGCCGGCGCUGGACNNNNNNNNNNNNNNNNNNNNNNNNNNNNNNNNNNNNNNNNNNNNNNNNNNNNNNNNNNNNNNNNNNNNNNNNNNNNNNNNNNNNNNNNNNNNNNNNNNNNNNNNNNNNNNNNNNNNNNNNNNNNNNNNNNNNNNNNNNNNNNNNNNNNNNNNNNNNNNNNNNNNNNNNNNNNNNNNNNNNNNNNNNNNNNNNNNNNNNNNNNNNNNNNNNNNNNNNNNNNNNNNNNNNNNNNNNNNNNNNNNNNNNNNNNNNNNNNNNNNNNNNNNNNNNNNNNNNNNNNNNNNNNNNNNNNNNNNNNNNNNNNNNNNNNNNNNNNNNNNNNNNNNNNNNNNNNNNNNNNNNNNNNNNNGUUGGCGGUGAGUUGCGGUGCGGCCGGUGGGCGGUGAGGCGGUCGCCGGAGAGCUUGGCCGUGGUGCUUGCGGCGAGGCACGGCGGCUCGAGCGGUCGGCGUCGAAGGAGGAGAGCCCGAGCCUCUUCGGGCCCGGACGGCGUUGGGAGGGGGCCCGCCCUGGGCCCGAGCGGGCCGGCGGCGCUGGCGCCGCGAAGUGGGGCUAGGGCCAUGUGGCAAGGCCUGGUAGGUCGGCGGCGGCGGGCGAACAACGUCCGGCCGUCCGGAUUUUGUCCGGCGGCUGGAGGAGGAGGGGGGCUAGGGUUUCAACCGGGAUUUCGAAUCGGGGUGGUAUUUAUAGGCAUAGAGGGAGCUAGGAGUGUCCAAAUGUGGUGCAGUUUUCGGCCACACGAUCGUGAUCGAACGCUCUAGAUGAUGGAGAGAGUUUUGGUGGGUUUUGGGCCAAAUUGGAGGGGUGUUGGGCUGCAACACACACGAGGCCUUUUCGGCCACUCGGUUAACUGUUGGAGCAUCAAACGAAGUCCAAAUGGUAUGAAACUUGACAGGCGGUCUACCGGUAGUAAACCAAGGCCGCUUGGCAAGUCUCGUUCCAAUCCGGAAAUGUUUAGUCCCCACACACGAAAGAAAGGUAGAAAUGACUACCGGAGGAGAACGGAGAGCCGGAAUGCAAAACGUACAACGGGGAAAAUGUUCGGAUGCAUGAGAUGAACACGUAUGCAAAUGCAAUGCACAUGAUGACAUGAUAUGAGAUGCAUGACAACGACAACAACACACAGAGACAAAAACCCGAACCCGAGAAAAUUAAAAUAACUUAGCACCGGAAACGGCAAGAGUUGGAGUACAUAUUAGGUAAAUCAUAUCUGGGGUGUUACAAGGCCCUGCUCGCCUGUCUGACUGGUGGCGCACUCCGCGCCGGCGCUCGAUAGUGGUUCGAGCGUCUUCAUGGGCUCGUUCCCAAAGAACUUGGCGCUAGUCAAAGUGGGUCCGCGGGUCAGACGAUGCUAUGGAGAUGGCGUUGCCCACGACGUCGCGCCAAGCCGGCGUCCGCGGUACCGGAUGGGGAGGAGGUGAAUGCAUCAUGGUUGCGGCGCCACCGGCUUUUUUGCCACUGGUCCGCGGGACUCCAUCGGAGCGUCGACCCGGGGGCCCCACCGGACUUGGUUCAUCUUUGUUGGCCACCGCAACAAGGCUUCGGAUAGUGGCUCUCCAUUCGUCGAGUUUCCCCGUGGUGGGAGGAAAGUCGAGGAACAACUGCGCGCGCCAGGGCCUCUGCUGGCGUUGGUGGCAGUGAAACCUACACGGAUCACGACGCGCUUCGACUUCUAACCAUGUCAGAAGGAGCUCUAUCACGACCCCGCGGUUGCAUGCCGUUUUCACCAGUGCCUCGGCGAGUGGGCAGGUCUUCUACGUCCCGAGAGUGGCGCUCGGGGCUCUUCCCGCGGCGACGCCCGGGAUCUUCGGCGUGGUUACGCCAUUCGUCGCACGCUGCCUGGGAGGAGCGCGCUGUUGACGCCAACGUGGGAGUCUUGGAGGCCCUCGCGUCGCCUUCGGGCGGGGCGGCGAUGACCUUGGAAGGCCCCUCUCCACCCGUGAAGGACUUGGCUCCGCCAUUGGAUUUGGCGACGUGUGGCCCGUUACCAGGCGCACAAACAUUGCCGCCUCCCAAACUCCGGCUGCUGGGAUGGUGUUGGUGUUCGCGAGCAGCGCCCCGGGUCCUCUCUGCGACCGGUCCGCAGCUCGCACGUGUCGGGACGGGCUGUCCGGCUUCCGACUGGCCAACCGCCACCGGCGUCUUCUUCUUGGGUGCCAUGAUGACGAAGAAGCGCCGAACUAACUGCUAAAGCCGAUUCUCACAACUGCGGCCCCCUACCUGGCGCACCAGAGAUGUCGGUGUGGAACGACACCUAUGGGAUCACAAGAAUCCCUACUACGGUUGGCGGGGCGCGGGGUCGUGAGAAGAGCGGAUCUAACAGGUAGCACACGGUUUGUUUAUCCAGGUUCGGGCCACAAGGAUGCGUAAAACCCUACUCCUGCUUUGGUGGAUUGUAUAUCUGUGUUCUUGAGCUAGCUAUGGGGCGUGAGGAGCUCCAAAAAGCUGAAUCUUUCUCCUGGUCGCCUCGGGCAUCCUUUUAUAGAAAAAGGGGUUGCCACAGUGGCACACAGGAGGUGGAAAGGGUACAGUGAUGCGAGGUUAUCCCUCGCAUUACAUGACAAGGCGCAUUUAAUGCGUCUUGCUUAGGUGUCCUUGCUUUAUCGGGGACGGGGGAGAGAUCUGUCUCGUCCGUCGCCGCUCCUCCUUGUGUCGACACCCGCCCUGGCCAGCGACGCCUGCGAUGCCAUGUAGGUAGGCAGGCAGCUGAGGUGGCGCAGUGGUGGGUCUUCACGAAGAUCUGCAUGCCGCCACGCAGGUGCCUGCCUAGCUGGUUGGGUCGGCAGCUGCAUGCGAAUGGCAGUGGAGGUUUAGUCGGCGUGGGCCUGAUGGUGGCCCUGUGGGUGUCCUCGGCAAGGGCCUUGCCGGGGCCCCGGCAAGGGUCUUGCCGAGGCGCCUGCUGUUAUCCCCGGCAAGGCUCUUGCCAGGGGCCUUGUGGUCUUCCUCGGCUGGGAUCCCGCCAAGGGUUGUCGUCUCCUUAGUGCGUAUCUGAUCUUGAAUGUCUUCACAAAGAUCUGCAUGCCUCCACGGGGAUGUCUCCCGAAUCCUUGCCCUUUAGGGGCAGUGGACUCAAGGGUGAUUCGCUCCGUAGGCGUGGGACGAGUCACCGUGGCAAGGGUCUUGCCGGGGCUGCUAGAACUGUCUUCCGGCAAGGAUCUUGCCGGGGGAGUCCGCUUCGUCCCCUUUGCUCUUCGUGGUCUUGGCCUUGGCUUCGUAGUUCUCUUGAGCUUUGGUCUUACCCUGGCUCACCUCCCUUUCCUUGCUCGAUGUGGUGGUGCCUGUGGCUCAGACUGCCCGUGCACAGUUAUAGGGGUACAAAAAGUGUACCCCUCUUUUUAUACACCGACACCUUUGAACGGAGGCUGUGCUGCUACAGCUGCUUCCGGAGACCCUGAAACGUCGGAUAUAUUGGCGAACAUGCUACGACAGGCGUCCGUCUCCGAAGACCAUCGUAACUUGGUGGUAUAGUGGUUAAAAAGGUCCUCUCCACAAAAAGCGGAUUGAAUGAAGCCUUCACGAGUCAACUAAGAGGUUUCGAGGUUUGUGAUGUAAUACUUUCAAUUUGUGUUUAUUCACAAAAUACUCCUAUGUAUAGAUAGUAGCCCCUGGGACUCUGAUAGGCUCCCCAAGGGAGGCAAUCAGAGUAUCAAAAAUAUUUAUCCAGGAAAUAAUAUGACUACUUGUAACACAGGCUAUUACUUCCCCUGCAACUGCCCGAUCCAUGGAGGUUGCGGAUCUACAGCAGAAGACUGUUGAGGCGGAUGAUGACAUCAUGUUGAUCGACAAGUGCCUUGACGAGGCGCAAGGUAUGUUUUUGGGUCAACUUGUAUAUUUAUGCAUGAUAACCUGAGCGUGAAGCUGGAAUUGUAUAUUAAGGCAUGCGUAACUACAUAUGGUGCUGCUGCGGUGGACGCCCUUCGGCCUGAGCUUGUCCUUGCCAAGGAACAAACACGGGUGAGUAAUCUGGCUGCCCAUAAGGCAGUUGAAGAAUUAAAACCGAACAGACUGUUCGGCACCAAUGUGAGGAAAGAAUUACUACGAUGGCGCGCAAACUGGAGGAGACCACUGUCCGGUGCGAAUUCCUUGAGAAGGAUAAAAACGCGAGAACAGCUGAUCUCAACAAGGCCUUGCAAGAAGCGAAACAAGCACGGUCUGAGUCUAGGGCGGUUUGGGAAGAGACCCGACAAGCUGGGGAUAUAGCGGCUGGCAAGCCUUUCUUAUUACUGAUGAAGUUCGGUGAUCCGAAGUAUUCCCCGCUAACCAAAUGUGGAGUUCUCCGGACCCUCUUUUAGACCUGCAGAAGAGCCUCCGAUGCAUCGCAAUUUUACCAAGUGCAAGAAGGGUGUGCCAAGGAGAAGAAUUUUUGGUCACAGUUCAGUGCGCCAAAGCAUCAAUUGUUAUUAAAUGAACAGAUGGCCCAGUGGGCCGAGCUCCAUAGGAUAUCUGGUUCCGCCAUGAAGGACGUCAUAGUCCGACUGUAGCCUACGGAGCCCAUUCCGAAUAGUUACUUCGGUUUGGUGCAUCGGCUUGUGGAUGCGGUGCCGCGUGUCGACGCCAUUAAGUGUUCAACGUGCAUUGAAGGUGCACGGAUGACCUUUUCCCAUGUCAAAACAUACUGGGCGAAGAUGAAGGCCACUGAUGUUGCCGCGAGGAGUCACCCCAAGGGUAAGGACCAUCUCGCACCCGAAAACUAUUUCGAGGACAUCUUAGAGGGUCCCCGCUUGAUAGAGGGUCUGUGCUCAAAAGAUAUGAUAUUUGAAUGAAAUAUAUUGAAUUGUAAAGGACACUAUAAUGGAAAUAUUAUGAUUUUUGCUUAAAAGUGUUUGGUUCUUCCUGUGCGGCCAUUGUUUGUAUAAUCUGAUAGUUUUCCAAUCGUCGACUUCAUCCCCCACGUAGGAAAUACGGGGGUGUUCGGGAAAGCAUAUGAUCACUCUUAACCCAACGUCUUGGUCCAUGAAUGGAGGUGUCAAUGUAGUGAACGAGGCAACCGGACUAUAGGGCGUUAACACUUUCACUUAGCCAUAGGAGUUUUAUGGUGGGUUUACGAUAUAAACCCUAGUAUGUAUGAUGUUAUCCCAAUGUGGUGCAUUCACAUGUAUGACCUAAACAAAAGGUCCUUAUUAUAAUACGGAGGGAAUCGCCAAAGAUUCCGAUAAGUUGUCGAGUGGUUGACCAGCUCUCGCUGCAUCAUGACAGUCAGUGUUCGGCUUUCUCUACUGAGGUGCUCGCUUGGGCAAACCAGUGCACAAUCGCAAUAGUUCUCCCUUUACUACCUUAGCCGAUAGAGCGGAACGUAAGGUAGCAAGCAGAGGAGUCGAGCAACCAAACUAUGGACCCAAGACAUGAUUCGGAGGUAAUGCAUAUAACGCCAAACUCGCGACACCGAAGUAUGCUAUAAAGUUGUUCGGACUUAUUGGCAAUUUAGUUUGUUCCCAUAUUGAGCCCCUGGCGGAGCGUCUGAAAUAACACAAGGAGCAAAUUAUAGUUCUUUAGAGAAAAGUCAAUACAAGAUAUAAAUUAUAUUCACUAGAACUUGAGUGACAUGCCAAUCAAUGUUUCGUAUAUAAUAACGCCACGACCCUGGCAAUUUGACAUAGCAAGGGUCGAUGGCUGAGGUAGAAAGGCACUUUACAGGCUCGCAAAAUAGAGAGUGUGGUCGUAAAAGUUGUUUUGGACCUCCUGUCACACGUCUGCGCCGCCUUUCCUUGAUGAAGGGGCUCCUUAAAGGGAGUAACUUUUGAAGAAAUGUACAAACCGGAACUCCGAUGGAGUCGGCGAGAUGACCAGCCUACGAGUCACCUAUGGUAAAAGGAUAAUGGAAAAAUAGAAAAAGUCGUCAGAAAAGAAUUGAAAAGAACGGAGUGAUAGAAGUACUUGUAGGCCCGUCCGUAUUAUGGCUCCGCUGAUGCCCAUGGUAUUUUGGGUGCAUAGUUAUGUAUGCGUGGUAUGGAUUUCGCAGGUGUAUGAGGUGGACGGCGGAGGCCGAACUGCUAGUCCAGUCCCAUAAUUGAUCGGUCCUGCUGAAUGGAGACCGACGGCUUAAUGGCCGACAAGGUAUGCGGUUUAAUAAGGCCGACUCGUACUCCGGCUAGAGGGAAGGUAGUAUGAUCCUUAGUCCGAAGGUAGUAUGUCUCAUGCUCCUCUCUAGGGGCGUGUGUUUUAUACCAUGUUCACUGUUUUUACCUUGGGGGAAAAUUGCUUCUGACCCUCGGUAUUUGUUUGGUGAAUCUCUUCGCCAUUGCUAUCAUUAGGCGGUCUUUUCCUCUUAUGUUCGGUGUUGAGCAUGCCGGCCUGUUUGAAGACCCAACCGCUUCCGUUGGUUUGAGUGGCUGGCUUAUCGGAAUUGCCAUGAAUCUGGCAGGGUCAAUCCAAUAUCUUGUCUAAGGCGGAUGGCUCAUCUCUGUUUGCCUUGAAUGGCUUUUUCCGUUGACCGGGUUUGGGGCCGCUGAAUCCGGCGUUGACCGCUAUGUCGCGCAUUCUCUUAUUAUCAUUGCGGCGUUUGUGUUUGCUCCGUCAUGCUUUUCCAUUGCCGUCUCGUACUUCGGAAGUACCUAGAUCGCUGGCACUGUUUCUUCUACGAGCGAGCCAGCUGUCUUCUCCCGCGCAAAAGCAGGUCAUCCGAGCGGUAAGGGAUGGCAUGGAUUUUAGUUUUUCUUGACCGAUGUGGUGGGCAAGCCACUCGUCCCGGACGCUGUGUUUGAAGGCCGCUAGGGCUUCCGCGUCCGGACAGUCGGCGAUUUGGUUCUUUUUAACUAAGAACCUAGUCCAGAGCUUCCUGGCUGACUCUUUGGGCUGUAUAUAGCUUAAGUCAUCGGCGUCUGGUGGCCGGACAUAUAUGCCUUGGAAGUUGUCGUCGAAGGCGUCUUCCAAAUCCUCCCAGCUGCCAAUAGAGUCUUUCGGGCAGACUGUUCAACCAGUGCCGAGCUGGACCUUUGAGUUUUAACGGGAGGUAUUUGAUGGCAUGAAGGUCAUCUCCGCGGGCCAUGUGAAUAUGGAGAAGGAAAUCCUCGAUCCAAAGCAUGGGAUCAGUUGUUCCAUCAUAUGAUUCGAUAUUCACUGGUUUAAACCCUUCCGGUAAUUCGUGCUCCAUUACUUCGUCUGUGAAGCAAAGAGGGUGUGCGGCGCCUCUAUGUUGGUCCACAUUGCGAUGUAUCUCCAAUGGAGUCUGUCUGCGGUUUUCGUCCCGGGUGUGACUAGGCUUGUCACGUCUGAAUAGAUAGCCAUUGUCACGUGUCGGGGCACGUCCUCGCGAUCCGUAGAUCAAUCUUGUAUGUCCUGCUCUAUUGUCCAGGUCCUGUUGACCACGAGCUGUGUUGUCUCUGCCUUUACGGUGAGGAGGGGCGGGCUGGUGUUCGGCUUGAGUUGCCGCUUUGUCCCGAACACAUGGUGGUCGGUUAGCCGCAUUGUGCGGUGAUGGUAUGGGCUCCGGUGCCUCAUCAUCGAACUGAGGUUGCAAUUUGUGCUUCGGGUAAAUUUUGACUGGGCGCUUGAGGCCGUAUACUUCGGCUACUAGGACAUCGGUCCAUCUGUCGUUGAGAAAAUCUUGGUCAGCUUGAAGCUGCUGCUGCAUCUUUUUCAGGCUCUUUGAAGUGGCUAUUAGCCGGCGCUUGAAGAGCUCCUGCUCCUCAGGUUCCUCAGGCACGAUAAAGUCCUCGCUGCUAAGACUCACCUGAUCCUCGGAGAGUGGAAGAUAAUUACUGUCCGGAUGAUCGUCCUAUUCGGCAGUUCUUUCAUCGGGAUCUUCUCUGACUUUAGCACCGUCGGAACUGUUGUCCUCUCCUGUGUCCGUAUCGCCAUUUAUUCCUUGACACGACUUAGAGCGGUGCCGCUGACGCCGGUGUUUUGGUUGUAUCACAGGAGGUUUGUCCUCAACUGGAUCUGCUUUCUCAUUGUCGUUUGUUCUCUUAGGUGUAUCCACCAUGUAUACGUCAUAGGAAGAGGUGGCUGUCCAAUGUUUGGUAAACGGUGGGUCUUGGCCCGGUUCUUCAUUGGCAUCGUCGUCCAUACCAUCGAUGUCUUCGGAGCUGUAGUCGAGUGAGUCAGUUAAGUUUUCAACAAUUUGUAUGAAGUGGGCAGUGGGUGGGAUGCAAAAUUUUCUGUUAUCAAUCUCCAGCUCGAACCGGAUAGAGCUCUUAACAAGUUUAGUACGUCGCCCAGAGGUGAAUGCCGGAAGAUGUUCGCGGCGCUGAAUUCGGUGAUCGAUGACCGAUCGUGCUCGAUGUGCGUGGAUGCGCAUAGUUCGGAACCUGUAGCCGGAGGCGGGUCCGUACUUCUGGUGGCAUAGAUGUCACUUGAAUUUAAGUCUGUGUCUGGCUCCAACACUGCUAAAACUGCGGAUUCCGCUGCGAGGUUGUGCUUCCCGUCUUCGGAUGGCGCGAUCUGCUCCGGAUCUAUGGCUGGAGCAGCUACAGGUACUACCUCCUACGUAUGGAUCGGUGACAGAUUUAGGUCAUGUUCAUCAUGGUGGCAGAGAGCGGCUGUCGUGGUCUCGAAUCCGUCGAAGAUCAAGUCUCCACGGAUAUACGCGAUGUAGUUCAAGUUUCCAAAUCUGACCCGGUGGCCAGGGGCGUAGCUUUCGAUCUACUCCAGAUGGCCAAGCGAGUUGGCCCGCGGUGCAAAGCUGUCGAACACGAAGAUCUGUCCGGGUAGGAAGACUUCCCCUUGGACAGCAUCGUUGUAGAUGAUUUAAGGAGCCAUCAAACCUUUUGAGGAUGGCACAGUGGAACUCUCAAUUAAAGAACCAAUGUCGGUGUCAAAACCGGCGGAUCUCGGGUAGGGGGUCCCGAACUGUGCGUCCAGGAUUGAUGGUAACAGGAGACGAGGGACACAAUGUUUGCCCAGGUUCGGGCCCUCUCUAUGGAGGUAAUACCCUACUUCCUGCUUUAUUGAUCUUCAUGAAUAUGAGUAUUACAAGAGUUGAUCUACCACGAGAUCGUAAUUGCUAAACCCUAAAAGUCUAGUCUGGCUAUUAUUAUUCGGGGCAUCUAUGGACCUAGCCCUCCGGUUUAUAUAGACACAGGAGGUACCUAGGGUUACACAAGGAAUCUUCAUAGUCGACGCCAAGCUUGCCUUCCACGCCAAGGAGAGUCCCAUCCGGACAUGGGUAGAGUCUUUGGUCUUCUCAUAUCUUCACAGCCCAAAAAUCCGGCCCAUAUCGAUACGUCGGACGCCGAAGGACCCCUUGGUCCAUGACUCCCUCAGUGGUGACGGCGCGCGGCGGCGGCGGCGCGAGCUGGCGCGAAUGGUGGUGGCGCGGGCUGGCGGCGGCGCGAGCUGGCGGCAACGCGGCGGCUGCGCAAGGCGGCGGCGCCGGCGGCUCGAGCGUCGACACAAGGCGCGGCCCGGUUCAGCCCGGGUGCGGGCCGGUGAUGGGACCCACGGGACCAUGCAGUGGAGAUGGUGGCGGGGUGACGUGGCUGCUUCUGAUUCGUCGAGGGCGGCGGCGCUGGACGCGUCCGGCGUGGACGGACGUGUCCGGUAGCAUGGAGGGAAGAUGGAGGCUAGGGUUUGGACUGCGAAUUCGGACGGGGAGGACCUAUACAUAGGUAGAGGGAGCUAGGAGAGGCCAAAUGAGGUGCGGUUUUCGCCCACACGAUCGUGAUCCAAUGACGGAGAGCAUGGAUGGGGUUUAGAUGGGCUAGUGGGCUGUUAUGAAGGGGUGCUGGGCUGCAAAGAGAAGAAGGGGUUCCGGUUAACGCGAUUGACCGUUGGGGCAUCAAACGUCCUCCAAAUGGAACAAAAUUUGACAGACGGUCUACCGUGAUACACAAAGGCCACUCGACAAAUCUCGGACAAUGCCGGGAAUGUUUUUAUCCCGCUCACGAAACAAUAACUGGAAGGUGCAACGGGUGCAUGUGAGAGUGUCGGAUGUCGAAACGGACAAUGGAGAAAGUGAUCAGAUGCAUGUUUUGAAAAAUAUGAUGGUGCAAUGCACAUGAUGACAUGGCAAAAUGCAACAUGCAAGAAAAUUUCAUGGCAACAACGACGAAUAACAGGAAGACACCUGGCGCAUCGGACUCGGGGUGUUACAAAGAGAUACAUAAAAUCGUGAGAGCGAUACUUUCCAUUUCUCUAGAGGGCUAAAAAUGAAAUUACGAGGAAUUAUAAGAAAUGCAACCGAUGAAGUAUUCACCAACUGUCAGGUAGUUCAAAGAACACCAGAAGUAAAAUUUACAUCCAGGUCCAUAGACCACUUAGCGACGACUACAAGCG
RNAcentral lists this long non-coding RNA (35925 nucleotides) under Triticum aestivum (bread wheat). Its description in RNAcentral is "long non-coding RNA (TAES_LNC023520)". Lineage: Eukaryota; Viridiplantae; Streptophyta; Magnoliopsida; Poales; Poaceae. The record is from RNAcentral.